UAUAUUGAGAAUGCGGAAAAACUGUAUUUAAAUCAAUUGUUCAUUUCAUACUUUAGUUACCAUAGACCUAUUGUUUCAGUUUUAGAAUUUGAUGAAAAUCUUGAUAAUAAUGAUGAAAAUGCUGGUUUAGUCGAUAUAAUUGGAAGACAUAUUUUGCCAUCCCCUAAUUGUCAGUUGAUAUUUGUUUACAUUUUAAAAAAGAAUGGAGAAAAAACAAAAGUACAAAAAAAGAAAUUCCUGGAGUGAGAGGGAGGAAGCGCUUCUAAUUAAAUUGUGGGAAAAUAAAGUGUGUGCUCUUCGCGGGCCCAGAAAAAAUAGCCACAUUUUAGAAGAAAUGGCAGUGGAGUUGAAGCGACAAGGAAGGAGAAAACAGCAGUCGGUUCAACUGGCGGUUCCCCCUAGAAUUGGCAUUUAUACCAGAAAAUGAGCGCCGUAUUGUCCCCAUAUGUUAGCUACAACACUUAGAGUUUAGUGGAAGAAAGCUUCUAUAGUUCUACAAAUUCCGAACCAAUGCAAAUUUCGGUGAAAACGGUUGCGACACCUUCAUUUGUUGCUGAAUCUCCAUUGCCAUCACCGGUUUGCGUACCUUCGCCCACAGAGAUAAUCAUGUCGCCAACCGAGCCUUCAUCAU
This is a long non-coding RNA of Zeugodacus cucurbitae (melon fly), 631 nucleotides long. RefSeq lists it as uncharacterized. Lineage: Eukaryota; Metazoa; Arthropoda; Insecta; Diptera; Tephritidae. The record is from RefSeq and is a predicted model, not a curated record. The transcript is spliced from 3 exons.